This 73-nucleotide transfer RNA is filed under the name Bordetella sp. Its description in RNAcentral is "tRNA-Phe". It matches the Rfam family "tRNA". Rfam says of the family: Transfer RNA (tRNA) molecules are approximately 80 nucleotides in length. Their secondary structure includes four short double-helical elements and three loops (D, anti-codon, and T loops). Further hydrogen bonds mediate the characteristic L-shaped molecular structure. tRNAs have two regions of fundamental functional importance: the anti-codon, which is responsible for specific mRNA codon recognition, and the 3' end, to which the tRNAs corresponding amino acid is attached (by aminoacyl-tRNA synthetases). tRNAs cope with the degeneracy of the genetic code in two manners: having more than one tRNA (with a specific anti-codon) for a particular amino acid; and 'wobble' base-pairing, i.e. permitting non-standard base-pairing at the 3rd anti-codon position. The record is from RNAcentral. Lineage: Bacteria; Pseudomonadati; Pseudomonadota; Betaproteobacteria; Burkholderiales; Alcaligenaceae.
GGCUCGAUAGCUCAGUUGGUAGAGCAGAGGACUGAAAAUCCUUGUGUCGGUGGUUCAAUUCCGCCUCGAGCCA